RNAcentral lists this long non-coding RNA (261 nucleotides) under Carica papaya (papaya). RNAcentral's name for it is "long non-coding RNA (CPAP_LNC010302)". The record is from RNAcentral. Lineage: Eukaryota; Viridiplantae; Streptophyta; Magnoliopsida; Brassicales; Caricaceae.
UUAACAUAUUCACAAAAAAAUAAAUAAAUACAUUCAAUACAUUUUUAAUAUAAAAUGGUUGAUAUCAGAAGUUAACAGAUUGUAUAAAAGGUAUAUAGGUGAUAAUUCAGCUGAUUUGUUAAGUUUUUAUAUAAAAUUGUGAGUACACAUGUUCUUCAUUAAUGGGAACUAAUGCCAUCCCUUAAUGAACGGGCCAAAGGCCCAAUAGUUCUAAUUCUAGGAUCUUUACUUCAUUACCAACCGCCUUAAUAGAAAUCAAUU